CCAGACUCCUACGGGAGGCAGCAGUGAGGAAUAUUGGUCAAUGGGCGGGAGCCUGAACCAGCCAAGUCGCGUGAGGGAAGACGGUCCUAUGGAUUGUAAACCUCUUUUGUCGGGGAGCAAAAGACGCCACGCGUGGCGUUCCGAGAGUACCCGAAGAAAAAGCAUCGGCUAACUCCGUGCCAGCAGCCGCGGUAAUACGGAGGAUGCGAGCGUUAUCCGGAUUUAUUGGGGUUAAAGGGGGCGCCGGCGGGGCUGUAAGGCAGGAGUGAAAGGCCGGGGCCCAACCCCGGGCCCGCCGUUGAAACUGGCAGUCUCGAGUUGGAGAGAAGUAUGCGGAAUGCGCGGUGUAGCGGUGAAAUGCAUAGAUAUCGCGCAGAACUCCGAUUGCGAAGGCAGCAUGCCGGCUCCACACUGACGCUGAGGCACGAAAGCGUGGGUAUCGAACAGGAUUAGAUACCCUGGUAAC
RNAcentral lists this ribosomal RNA (466 nucleotides) under uncultured bacterium. RNAcentral's name for it is "bacterial SSU rRNA". It matches the Rfam family "Bacterial small subunit ribosomal RNA", at positions 331 to 795 of the family's 1533-position model. The record is from RNAcentral.